UGUUGAUGUGAUAAAAUUCACUAAGAUUUUGAGGAAAGUCCCCAUUGUAGUGAAAAAUUGUACUGGUUUUGCUGUCAACCGAAGCUUCUUCCCUUAUAUGCAAGGACCAGACCUGUUGGCAAAUUUAGGCGUUGAUAUCUUCAGAAUUGACCGCGUUAUCACUGAGUUUGGCAUGAGACUUGGUCCUUUUCAGCUUCAGGAUCUUUCCG
This 209-nucleotide unclassified non-coding RNA is filed under the name Hevea brasiliensis (rubber tree). The record is from RNAcentral. Lineage: Eukaryota; Viridiplantae; Streptophyta; Magnoliopsida; Malpighiales; Euphorbiaceae.